UAGUAUUGAGAGCCAACAAAUCCAUUGAAAUGGUAGUGCCUUAGUUUUGGAGAAUGGACUAUUUCUCUAAUUCUCUAUUGAGUGUGGUACAAAAGGAGUCUGGUGUGAAUGAAGAGCACAAAGUGAUGUUCAUCAAGUGCACUUCUAGAGGGUUGCUGUCUUUGUGGUGGCUUAGCAACAUUUAUCUUGAUAUACUUCACCCAAAACAGAAGUUAUUGUUAGAAUUAUUUUGUUUAUCCCUUUUCAAAGUUGUUUUCUAUUUAAAUAUAACUUAGUGAUGUUGAUGUAAACCAAAAAUCAGAAUACACAAUUGUAACCGCAAGUUCUCAAAUCAUGGGGUUCUAACAGUGGCCCAAUAUGGAUGUAGUGCUCAAUAUAAGAUAUGUAAUUCUAGUUUUAGGUUUCUUGUUAUUUUUUAUUCAUAUCUUCUCUCAUUGCAGAAGAAAGUUGUGCAUUGUAGACUGUUUAGAUGAAACGCAAAUUGAUGUAAAAGAAGAGAAAAGAAACAGUAAUCAGGCCAGAUAAGGAACUGGAAAAAGAAGAAUUGAAACCCUCAAUGUUACUUGUUUUAUAAACCUGUUCUCUACCUGUGUUUCAUAAUGACAUUUGUUAAUGUUUCCAAUGUUUGUGUGGUUGUAGGUGGUCCACAAGCUGCAUGUAUGGGCUGUGCUGGCUUUGCCGCAUUCUCAGUCGUCAUAGAGAAGUUUCUAGAGAGGCAUCAAUAAGUGAAUUAACUUGGAUCAAUUUUGUAUUCUUCGAUCAUAGUUUAAGUUCUUGAUCAAAAUAUUUUGCCCAUACGAUAGAGGGACGUGAUAGGGAGCAAGACAAAUUGCAAUAUUAUUUCACAUCUGUAAUUUAUUUGUAUACAAUGUCAUUGGCGGAUGCAUUCUCCGAACUUGGGAAAGCUCUGUGAUGACAUGGUUUAGUAUUGGAAAAUGCCAAGCAUUACGAAAACCAUAGGGAGCAAUAAUUGUGAUGAACUCUUUAAAGUGCUUAGCACUCCUGUUUAGUGGUAAUAGUUAAUUUCAAUAGAUUUUUCUUUGUAAUUCAUUCUUUUUUUUUGGAAUAUUUAUGGAGUGUUCCUAGGCUUCUUAAAAUCCACCAUUGUUUUCCUUUUUAAAGAGAUAGAAUAUGCUGACAAAUAUAUGCUGAGUUCCGUUAUCUAAUUGUGCUUCUGUAACUACCACAACAAAAAAAAUAUGUUUUUCUAUCUUUAAAAAUGAAACAGUCAUGUUCUUGUGAAAAAAGAGAUAUUCCAAAUUUUGUCCUGAAAUGAUGUCAUACAGUGCAAACGUUACCACGGAAAAGAUAUCCCAACAUGUUUGUAUAGUUAUAUAAAGAUUUUUUCAAUAUAAGCCACACGAUGUAGAUAAUUAAAUUAGCCUAAGCAAUAAUGCAAUAGAAUAUUCACACAAUGGAUUCUUAUAAAACAACAUACACAGAUGAACAUAAAUUCAAACAUGUAACUUACUUUCAAAAUAUUGGAACUAAGCUUUCAACAUAAUCUAUGGCAUCGUCCCAAUAUGCAUUAUCUCUAGUUCUAUUAUCGGUAACAGGUCUACAUACAAUAAUUUAUGUUCGCUUAGUUCUGUUAUCUCUCCUAUUAUAGAGAAUUGUUUCAGAUUCUUCAAUUGAAUGAUACAACAUUUAAACAAACUUUUCAACAAACAGUUGAUAUGCAUGAAAAUAAGUCCCCAUUGGUUUUAGGUAUUUGACAUUGUGGAUUAUUAUUGUAUAUUGAAAACAUAGGAGCAAAAUAAAAGAGUAAUAAAUCAAAGCAAAAGAGAUUUGAACGAAGUUUUAGGGUUACUAACCAGAGGGGAGUCACAGCCGGAGAGAGGCGUAGUGAUUCUGAAUUUGAAGUAGCGCAAUACACAUGGUUUUCAGAUACAAAAUGCCAAGUUUUNAGAGAGAGAGAGAGAGAGAGAGAGAGAGAGAGAGAGAGAGAGAGAGGAAAAAAAUCAUUUGAGUUACUACAAACUAUGAAUACGGUGUUUGAUCACUUGAUUUUAAAAUCUUUGAACAAAAUAGUUAGGAUAACUUUUCGCUCAAUAACUCUCUUCAAUGGUUAUUCUCCCUAUAGAUGAGUAUAACCAUUGAAGGUUUAAGAAUUUCAAUGUAAGUAACAAUUAUAUAAUUAGUUUUAUGCCUAAACCUAAUCAAUAAUUGAACGGUUAAAAUAGGGUAAAUCUCAAAAUUAGGUUCAAAAAUCCUUGUUGAUCUAAAAUUGUAUUAUGGACAAAGUUAAGGUUAAUAAUCAUUAAACACGUAAAAAGCAUUAAGAAUAAGAUUAACCGAAUAAAAUAACUAAGUAAUUGACUAGAAUUCAAAGCAUCUUUUAAAGCUACGUGAACAAAUAAUUAAGAAAAGUUCCUCUUCCAUGACUUAACCUAGCAAGGAUUUAUCUACUAUAUAUAUAUAUAUAUAUAUAUAUAUAUAUAUAUAUAUAUAUAGUAGAUAAAAUAACACACAAAUACAAAUAAAAUAACACAGAAAAGGAUCAUCUGUUGAUGAUUCCUUGGCUCCCGAAUUGUUCCGGUCGCUUCAAUCCUUCGGAAAUCGUGUUUCUACCUUUGUAUGCUCGUCAAAAGGUGUUUUUCCAGUAACCUAUGGGUUCACUUUUUUAUAGGCAUCAAAUUUCCCAAGUUUUAGGGAAAUUGGUUCCCGAUACAAGUAUAUUCCUCGCGAUAUGAGGCAGCCAAUGAGCAUCCCUUUUUGGCAUGUCACUCUAUAUCGCGAUGUGGGGCUCACAACCCGCGAUGCGAGAUAGACAAUAGCGAUCAUCUUGGUUUCCAAUCGUAUUCGCGCGAUACGGGGCUCAUAGCUCGCGAUGCGAGUUAGGCAGAAGUUGAUUCCUUGGUUUCUUUAUUUCUUGCUUCAUUUCUUCUUGCCAAAACGUCGCUAACGAAUAUACCUCAAACUUAAUCAACGAUAAACUUAUAAUUUUAUUUUUAUCCUACUAAGUUAUAAUUUCUAAAUUGGUCCCCCAAACUUGAUUUCGGGCUCCGUUCCUAAAUUGCUGGAUUGCAUGAGCAUGGUCCAUGCCGCAGUAGAACCUCAUCAAGGCCAGUGUUCUUUUUUCCCUUAUAUUAGUAACAAACAAAUAGUGUGAACACAUUGCAUAAAUAGGAUAUGCUUGAUAGUUAAUUCCACCUUCUCAUUCUACACAAAGUAUGAAAAGAACCAAUUGAACUUGAGAUGCCGUUUACGUUCAUUUCCAAUUUCCAUCUAUUUUAUUAUUAAACAGGAAUGGCAACUUCCAAGUGCUUGAAAGUCCAUCACCUAAAAUUGACAAUUGUUAUCAGUCACUUUUUUUAAUAAUAUUUGUGACUCCACACAUGUACCUUUGUAAUAUAUACAAUUUAUAUCAUUUCAAUAUUAAUAGUCUGUGUCGUACACGGGACAUUAGACUGGUAAUAUUAUAUAAUUUAAAUCUUCGUUUUUUAUUUUGAAAUUAAAUCAUCUUUGAAAUUUAUAACUCGCAAAAACUUGUAAAACAUAAGUUUUAUGAUGAUAUAAUUAAAAGUGAUAUAAGAAUUAAAACAUAACCAGUAAAAAUUAAUUUGAUUCAUAUUUUUUUCUUAGGGAUGAUCAAAACUCAUCUUAAAUUGGAUUUCUCGGAAACAUAAUAUUAGAGGUACGAAUAUGUUAAAAAUAGUGUCAAAUAAUGAAUAUACAUCCUUGUACCUAAAUAAUACUCCUAAGUAGAUAUAUGAAAACAUAUACUCCCUCCGUUUUUAAAUAUAAGCAAAAUUGACUUUUUAGAUUCAUUAAAUUAAUGAUGUAUAUAGUCCAUAAUAUAAACCACAUACAUCAUUAAUUAAAUGAACCUAAAAAAUCACUUUUACUUAUAUUUAAAAACGGAUGGAGUAUAGAGUAAUGAAUAUAAUUAACUAAAAAAAUUAUGAGUAUACAUCCUCCAUCAUAAAAGAAUGAAUAUACACCAUAGCUUCGAAUUAAAAUUAAUGCUUGAGAAAAAAUCAAUUUUAAACUUCGUAUAUAAUCUAUAAAAACAAGAUUUCUUAUAUCUAUCCAAACUUUUUCUUAUAUAAAAUCAAACUUUUAUUUUGACAAAAGAAAAAAAUCAAACUUAAGAAUGGGUACUCCCCCUAAUAUACACCCAUCGUUUCGUGAUACACACACUAAAUACUAAUUGAAAAAUAUAUAAUUUUAUAUAUAAAAUUUAUCCUCAUGAGAAAAUUUCAAUUAAAAUAUGUUGCUCCAUAAUAGUUAGACAGUGACGUAAAUACAUUUGAACCAAAUUAAUUUUUUUUAACCAAGGAUGCACGCAACUUAGGAGAUUGAUCCUCACAUAUUUACUUAAGCUAUUAAUCUCUUCUAACAUAUAUGUUUUCAUAUACACAAGUCAGAGAACGAACUUUAUACACACACAAAAAAAAAAUUGUAUAUGUAUGUUGAGAACAAACUCACAACGUCCAAAUUAAUAGCAUAUAAUGACAAAAUGACUACAAAAAAUAUGAUGAAAUCUAAAUCAUCAUAAUAUUCAUGCUUCCGGAUCUGCAACGUUGGCGUCCAAAUCAUUGAUUGAAUCUGUGAUUGACUGAAGCUAAUCUUUCAAUAUGAAUCAAACAAACACUGCAACAAAAUGUGAAAUCAAACAAUGCCGCACAAGACGACGAACAACACAACGCCGCACUCGGACGACGAAAUCACGAAACAAAACACAAAAAAAACACUUGAUAUAUGUGGAAAUCACUUAUUUAGAUUGAAAGAAAAUGGAAAAAAGGAUGCACAGGGUGAUUCUAGGUCAAAAAAUGAUCUAAAACCACCCCUCCUCGACGAGUGAAAGAGAAAUAAAACUUAAAGAAGUUAGAGUUUCUCUCACUAAAAAACUAGGGUCGGCUCGCAAACAAAUUACACUCUUAAAAUAAAUAGAAAUUUUAAAACUGAUCAUUGAAUGUAUAUUUUUUUACAAUCAUAACCCUUUUACUUUUUACAACAAAUUAAACAAAUAAAUUUAAAAUAAUAAUAUCAAGCUAUCAUUGUCUUGUGUAGGGGUGACCCAAUAAGAUUACAUUUUUAAUUAAUCUUGGAAGGCAUGAAACACCAUGCUUUUCUAUUGACCAUUAGAGAUUUCAGAAAGCAACCGUUAUUAUCUCAAAUAACAUUCGAACAAUAAUUGCAUGUUUUUCCAAGCCCAUGCAACAACUAUAAAUAGUUAAAGCUUUCUCUCAUUUUUCCACAAGCAAAACACAAAUCGUUUAUUCCAUUCUAUCUUUCAUUCUCUCAAACUUCUACUAAAAUUACUUCAAUUCAAUCCAAUGGCAUCUUUCCAAUCCUUCAACUUUGAAACUGAAAUUCCACAAGAGCUUCUCAUAUCUCAAAUCAUGCAAAUUCAUACAACCAUUUCUAAGCUAGAAUCUCUUAGGCCUUCAAAACAAGUCAACACCCUUUUGACUCACUUAGUCAAACUUUGCAUCCUCCCUUCAUCCAUUGAGAUUGAAGCCUUGCCACAAGAGGUUAAGACAAUGCGUGAAAGCCUCAUUCCCAUUUGUGGCAAAGCUGAAGGACUUUUGGAGCUUGAAUUCUCAACUUUCAUUAGCCAAACACCAAAUCCAGCAAAAAAUUUAACACUUUUCCCUUACUAUGGAAACUAUGUUAAACUAGCAAACUAUGAAAACAAAAUCCUCAAAGAAAAUGGUGUAGUGGAUGCAAAAAAAGUAGCUUUUAUAGGAUCUGGUCCAAUGCCACUAAGUUCAAUUAUAUUGGCAACUCAUCACAUGGAAUCAACUCACUUUGAUAAUUUUGAUAUCGAUGAGAAAGCUAAUGAGGUUGCUAGCAAGAUCGUGGCUUCGGAUAAAGCACUUGAAAAGAGGAUGAAAUUUGUGACACAAGAUAUAAUGGAAGCUAAGGAGAGGUUAGGGCAAUAUGAUUGCAUUUUUUUGGCAGCACUUGUUGGUAUGCGUAGAAGUGAAAAAGUGAAGAUUUUGGGACAUAUAAGUAAGUAUAUGAAGGAAGGUAGUGUUUUGCUUGUAAGAAGUGCAAAAGGGAGUAGAGCUUUUUUGUAUCCUAUUGUUGAGGAGAAUGAUAUGGUAAAUUUUGAGGUGCUUACAAUUUUUCAUCCAACGGAUGAUGUUAUCAACUCGGUUAUUCUUCUUCGCAAACCUAAAGCUUGAUCAAUAAGCUAAGUUACCAAAUAAGUUGAAUUUCUACUUGAAGAAGAAUCUAUUUAUAGUGUAGAUUCAAAUGUGUGUUGUUCUUUUGAUUGAAAGUGUUUCUUUUCCUAUGAUAUACUUUGUAUAAUUAGUGAGGUUUAGUGUUAUGUUCUAGUGCUUGCCUCAUUCGUCUUACUUUAUAAGAUGAUUGAAGAUUAUGUAUCGUAAUUCCAAAUAAUAAAUGAACAAGCUUUGUGUUUAUUUUUUAAUUGUUUUACUUUUUUUUAGAAAAGAAGGUGCUAAUCCCCAAAGACUACAAUGGAACAAACCUGAGAGAUUUGAUUCAAAGGUUGAUCAAAAACCUUCAUCGAAGUAACUUCACACGUCAUAAGCAUCUGCUACCUUGUUUGCUUGACAAUACAUAUAGCAAAUACUUGAUGGGAUAAAACCACAAGUGCACGGUUCUACUGAAGUAGUAAAAAUAGAGUAUCGUUUCGAUAGGGAGUUGUUCAAUUCAAUUAACUUUAGUUGAUGAUUAGAAAAGGUUAAGUUGCAAAGUUGGGGUUUUCAAACGGUUAAAAGAAAAUAUAAUAAUAAAAAAGAGCCUUGGGAUUAUUGGUUCAUCAUAAUGACAAACCCUUCACAAACCAAAACCUUAAACCUAUAACUUUAUGUUAGACCUACUUUCUAAUGACAAAUUUCUCUUUAGUCUAUCACAUCUCCUUUCGGUCUCGGUGAGUGUGUUUCUCUAGCAACCACGACUAUUUUCAUGGUUGAUUGCUAUUGAAAUCCUUCAAGCUCGAAACUUUAUUGUCUCAAGGUUUGCUAGACUAUUUUAAUGUUUUGCAAUCCUUAUCUAUAUUCACUUGUUCCAAUAUUAAAACUUCAUCUUUCGAUCAUUCGCUUAAUAUUUGUGAUAAAUCAAUAACAACUAUUAAACUUCAUCUUUCAAUCCUUCGAUUAAUACUUGUUAUUGAUUAUAAGAACGGUGAAAUAGAUUAGAAAUCAAGGUUACAUAAAAUUAGGGAUUAAAGCUUGGUUUGAUUAGGAUUAUGUCAUUAGACUUAUCCAACAAUCUCAAGACAAGAAGAGUCUACUCACUCAUGUUCAUCGUAGACAUUGAGAAGAAGAAGAAGAAAAGCAUAAAGUAAAUAACAAAGAAAUAAAGAAAUAACUUUUAUUAAGAAAGACAAUUGUCACUGAUUGAAUUCCAAGAACAAAAAAUGAAUUGUUGUGAUAGCUCGCUACUCUAUUUAGUCUUAUGUCGACUUAAAACCUAAGGAACUAUUCACUAGAAUGUUCAACAAGAAACCACAGACUUUUAGGUCAAAAUAGGUAGCUUGUUUCCGAAGCAAAAGCAGCAAAAGAGCACCCUGAAGCUUGGCACGGGCCGUGCUGCUGGUGGCACGGGCCGUGCCUCCUCGCUGACCUGGGGAGUGACAUAUUUUUGUCCCAUAUUUCAUAUUUUCAUCCUGAAUCAACUUCUAAUCCUCUUUCUUUUGCUCUAAGACUCAAUCUAUCAAACAUUCGUUCCUGAAAUAUAAUAAUUUGCAAUUGAAGUAAAAUAGUUCUAAAAGGAAAUAAUAUUUAAAUAAAAUAAACUUAAAUCUAAGUAAAACGGAAUCAAAUAUUAUAUUAAAACUACUAAUUAUUGACUCAUCAAUACUCAUCCUCAAAUAUCUUUAAGGAAACAUUUUGAUUUCUUUGAAUCAAAUUAAAACCAAAUCCACCGCUAUUUUAUCCUGUUCAAGGUAUUAACACCCGCUUGAGGGUCAAUUCGAAGCUCAAUCAUCCAGAAACCCUGCACUUUGUGUAAUUUAAGUGUUAAUAGAAAGGAUGUCUUAAUGCCACAUAAAUGACAAUUUAUAAAUGUAAAUAAAGGACAAAAGGCAUAGAACUUGCAAAAGAAAUAAUAAUUUCAAAACAUGAAUAAAAAGAGGAACCAAAUUAUAUACUAAAAAUUAGUAGCAUGCUGAGCAAGUUUGUCAAAUAUAUAUAAUAUUUUAUAUAUAGAUUUUUUCAAUAUAAGCCAGACGAUGUAGAUAAUUAAAUUAGCCUAAGCAAUAAUGCAAUAGAAUAUUCACACAAUGGAUUCUUAUAAAACAACAUACACAGAUGAACAUAAAUUCAAACAUGUAACUUACUUUCAAAAUAUUGGAACUAAGCUUUCAACAUAAUCUAUGACAUCGUCCCAAUAUGCAUUAUCUCUAGUUCUAUUAUCGGUAACAGGUCUACAUACAAUAAUUUAUGUUCGCUUAGUUCUGUUAUCUCUCCUAUUAUAGAGAAUUGUUUCAGAUUCUUCAAUUGAAUGAUACAACAUUUAAACAAACUUUUCAACAAACAGUUGAUAUGCAUGAAAAUAAGUCCCCAUUGGUUUUAGGUAUUUGACAUUGUGGAUUAUUAUUGUAUAUUGAAAACAUAGGAGCAAAAUAAAAGAGUAAUAAAUCAAAGCAAAAGAGAUUUGAACGAAGUUUUAGGGUUACUAACCAGAGGGGAGUCACAGCCGGAGAGAGGCGUAGUGAUUCUGAAUUUGAAGUAGCGCAAUACACAUGGUUUUCAGAUACAAAAUGCCAAGUUUUUAACAAGUUUGAAGUAAUCAAAUUCUAUGUAUCUAAUCUAGUAAAUUUUUCGAGUUAAAAUCACUGGUCCCACCAAAAUAUUUGCCAAUCCUCCCAAUCUUACAAUUAAGAUUGUUGAUCCCACACAAUCCUACCAGAUUGCGGUUCUGUCUGUUAUUGGGAUAAUCCAAGUCGUCAAGGAUCUUACUUAUGAGUAAGAUCAUGAGUUUGACUACCUUGCCAAAUAAUUGUAACGUAUAAUUAUAACCCCAAUGUUUCUCAAAAUUAAAGUGUUUGUCAUGGUGUGGGGAUUUCUUCAUAUGGUUUUUGGGAUGGUUAGAAAUUUAGACUGAAUAAUAUUUAUAGGAGUAUCUUAGGCGGGUGCAAAGCUUGAUUUUGUCUCUUUUAGGAGACAUCUUUGUUGGGCAUAAAAUGCAUGGCAACAAAGGAUGCAUUUCGACAUCAUUGUCUUUGUAGUGCAUACUCAAGGAGAUAGUAAGUAAUGGUGAUGGAGUGCAUGCACACAAGCAUUGGUACUCAUGAGCCAGGCUCGCUUGUAUGCCUCUGGAAGAGAGAAUGCUACUCACGGCUUUUAAAGAGUCAACGUUGAACUGCAUUCUCAACAGGGACUCCUUACUAAGGUGUUACUGAAAACCUUGAUGUAGUAUCCUAGUAUUGAGAGCCAACAAAUCCAUUGAAAUGGUAGUGCCUUAGUUUUGGAGAAUGGACUAUUUCUCUAAUUCUCUAUUGAGUGUGGUACAAAGGGAGUCUGGUGUGAAUGAAGAGCACAAAGUGAUGUUCAUCAAGUGCACUUCUAGAGGGUUGCUGUCUUUGUGGUGGCUUAGCAACAUUUAUCUUGAUAUACUUCACCCAAAACAGAAGUUAUUGUUAGAAUUAUUUUGUUUAUCCCUUUUCAAAGUUGUUUUCUAUUUAAAUAUAACUUAGUGAUGUUGAUGUAAACCAAAAAUCAGAAUAGACAAUUGUAACCGCAAGUUCUCAAAUCAUGGGGUUCUGACAGUGGCCCAAUAUGGAUGUAGUGCUCAAUAUAAGAUAUGUAAUUUUAGUUUUAGGUUUCUUGUUAUUUUUUAUUCAUAUCUUCUCUCAUUGCAGAAGAAAGUUGUGCAUUGUAGGCUGUUUAGAUGAAACGCAAAUUGAUGUAAAAGAAGAGAAAAGAAACAGUAAUCAGGCCAGAUAAGGAACUGGAAAAUGAAGAAUUGAAACCCUCAAUGUUGCUUGUUUUAUAAACCUGUUCUCUACCUGUGUUUCGUAAUGACAUUUGUUAAUGUUUCCAAUGUUUGUGUGGUUGUAGGUGGUCCACAAGCUGCAUGUAUGGGCUGUGCUGGCUUUGCCGCAUUCUCAGUCGUCAUAGAGAAGUUUCUAGAGAGGCAUCAAUAAGUGAAUUAACUUGGAUCAAUUUUGUAUUCUUCGAUCAUAGUUUAAGUUCUUGAUCAAAAUAUUUUGCCCAUACGAUAGAGGGACGUGAUAGGGAGCAAGACAAAUUGCAAUAUUAUUUCACAUCUGUAAUUUAUUUGUAUACAAUGUCAUUGGCGGAUGCAUUCUCCGAACUUGGGAAAGCUCUGUGAUGACAUGGUUUAGUAUUGGAAAAUGCCAAGCAUUACGAAAACCAUAGGGAGCAAUAAUUGUGAUGAACUCUUUAAAGUGCUUAGCACUCCUGUUUAGUGGUAAUAGUUAAUUUCAAUAGAUUUUUCUUUGUAAUUCAUUCUUUUUU
This 10403-nucleotide long non-coding RNA is filed under the name Medicago truncatula (barrel medic). RNAcentral's name for it is "long non-coding RNA (MTRU_LNC008658)". The record is from RNAcentral. Lineage: Eukaryota; Viridiplantae; Streptophyta; Magnoliopsida; Fabales; Fabaceae.